This 320-nucleotide unclassified non-coding RNA is filed under the name plant metagenome. RNAcentral's name for it is "partial contains 5.8S ribosomal RNA, internal transcribed spacer 2, and large subunit ribosomal RNA". The stretch from base 1 to 105 matches the Rfam family "5.8S ribosomal RNA", at positions 50 to 154 of the family's 154-position model. The record is from RNAcentral.
GAAAUGCGAUAAGUAAUGUGAAUUGCAGAAUUCAGUGAAUCAUCGAAUCUUUGAACGCCCAUUGCGCCCGCCAGUAUUCUGGCGGGCAUGCCUGUUCGAGCGUCAUUACAACCCUCAGGCCCCCGGGCCUGGCGUUGGGGAUCGGCGGAAGCCCCCUGCGGGCACAACGCCGUCCCCCAAAUACAGUGGCGGUCCCGCCGCAGCUUCCAUUGCGUAGUAGCUAACACCUCGCAACUGGAGAGCGGCGCGGCCACGCCGUAAAACACCCAACUUCUGAAUGUUGACCUCGAAUCAGGUAGGAAUACCCGCUGAACUUAAGC